UACGUAGGUGGCAAGCGUUGUCCGGAUUUAUUGGGUUUAAAGGGUGCGUAGGUGGUCUAUUAAGUCAGUGCUGAAAUAUCCCGGCUUAACCGGGAGGGUGGCAUUGAUACUGAUGGACUUGAGUAAAGUUGAGGUGGGCGGAAUUGACGGUGUAGCGGUGAAAUGCUUAGAUAUCGUCAAGAACACCUAUUGCGAAGGCAGCUCACUAGGCUUUAACUGACACUGAGGCACGAAAGUGUGGGGAUCAAACAGG
This 253-nucleotide ribosomal RNA is filed under the name uncultured bacterium. Its description in RNAcentral is "partial 16S ribosomal RNA". It matches the Rfam family "Bacterial small subunit ribosomal RNA", at positions 524 to 776 of the family's 1533-position model. The record is from RNAcentral.